RNAcentral lists this ribosomal RNA (480 nucleotides) under uncultured bacterium. Its description in RNAcentral is "bacterial SSU rRNA". It matches the Rfam family "Bacterial small subunit ribosomal RNA", at positions 1 to 507 of the family's 1533-position model. The record is from RNAcentral.
GUUGAUCAGUGGCUCGAGGACGAACGCUGGCGGCGUGCUUAACACAUGCAAGUCGAACGGUAAGGCCCUUCGGGGUACACGAGUGGCGAACGGGUGAGUAACACGUGGGUGAUCUGCCCUGCACUUCGGGAUAAGCCUGGGAAACUGGGUCUAAUACCGGAUAGGACCAUGGACUUCACGGUUUGUGGUGGAAAGCUUUUGCGGUGUGGGAUGGGCCCGCGGCCUAUCAGCUUGUUGGUGGGGUAAUGGCCUACCAAGGCGACGACGGGUAGCCGGCCUGAGAGGGUGUCCGGCCACACUGGGACUGAGAUACGGCCCAGACUCCUACGGGAGGCAGCAGUGGGGAAUAUUGCACAAUGGGCGCAAGCCUGAUGCAGCGACGCCGCGUGAGGGAUGACGGCCUUCGGGUUGUAAACCUCUUUCAAUAGGGACGAAGCGCAAGUGACGGUACCUAUAGAAGAAGCACCGGCCAACUACGUG